Molecule: unclassified non-coding RNA, 378 nt
Filed under: plant metagenome
Description: partial contains 5.8S ribosomal RNA, internal transcribed spacer 2, and large subunit ribosomal RNA
Rfam family: 5.8S ribosomal RNA (bases 1-105)
Source: RNAcentral
GAAAUGCGAUAAGUAAUGUGAAUUGCAGAAUUCAGUGAAUCAUCGAAUCUUUGAACGCACCUUGCGCUCCUUGGUAUUCCUUGGAGCAUGCCUGUUUGAGUAUCAUGAAAUCUUCAAAGUAAAUCUUUUGUUAACUUAAUUGGUUUCUACUUUGGUAUUGGAGGUCUUUGUAGCUUCACACCUGCUCCUCUUUGUUCAUUAGCUGGAUCUCAGUGUUAUGCUUGGUUCCACUCGGCGUGAUAAGUUAUCUAUCGCUGAGGACACUGUAAAAGGUGGCCAAGGUAAAUGCAGAUGAACCGCUUCUAAUAGUCCAUUGACUUGGACAAUACUUUUAUGAUCUGAUCUCAAAUCAGGUAGGACUACCCGCUGAACUUAAGC